CGCCUAUACACAAAAGCAAAAAUGUCCGUUUAUACAAAUAUACGGCGUUUCGGUUUUGUUGGCGGGGGGUGCGUGUGUGGAUAACGGCUCACAUAACGUGUCGCGAUGGAUGACUUGGCUUCCUAUUUCGUUGAAGAACGCAGUAAAGUGCGAUAAGUGGUAUCAAUUGCAGAAUCAUUCAAUUACCGAAUCUUUGAACGCAAACGGCGCAUGGGAGAAG
RNAcentral lists this ribosomal RNA (220 nucleotides) under Leishmania aethiopica. RNAcentral's name for it is "partial 5.8S ribosomal RNA". The stretch from base 95 to 220 matches the Rfam family "5.8S ribosomal RNA", at positions 1 to 126 of the family's 154-position model. From Rfam's summary of the family: 5.8S ribosomal RNA (5.8S rRNA) is a component of the large subunit of the eukaryotic ribosome. It is transcribed by RNA polymerase I as part of the 45S precursor that also contains 18S and 28S rRNA. Functionally, it is thought that 5.8S rRNA may be involved in ribosome translocation. Lineage: Eukaryota; Euglenozoa; Kinetoplastea; Trypanosomatida; Trypanosomatidae. The record is from RNAcentral.